AGAUGGCAUCAGACUCGCUUAUUCUGACUUAAGAAAACAAAUUUUGAGAGAAAAAGUUUUAUUUACUUAGGUUUUUUCUUUUUCUUUUUCUUUUUCUUUUUCUUUUUUUUUAGAGAGAGAGAGAGAGAGCGCGCGCAGGGGAGGAGCGGUGGGAAGGGGACAGAUCUGAUCUGAAGCGGGCUCUGUGCUGACAAGCAGAGAGCCCGAUGUGGGGCUCAACCUCACAAACCGCAAGAUCAUGACCCGAGAUCAUGACCCGGGCUGAAGUCAGAUGCUUAACUGACUGAGUUACCCAGGCGCCCCUAUUUACUUAGUUUUAUUGUGAAAUCAGAGUUGUGUAAAUCAGGCACAUAAGGAAAGAUUUAGGGGGAAGAUCGUACUCUUCGGAAACAGAGUUCUCUGAUCCCUGAUCCACAUUUGCAAGCCCCCAGGGUUGUUUCAAUUUUGCCAGUGAGUUUCAAGAACUUACUUUGAAAACUCUUGAAACGACAUUAAGCCCUUGAAACUUUUUUGGCAAGAUGCCGUGGUGCCUUUGUAGAAAAGAAAGGAGUGAUUACGACAUGGAACCGAUGGAAACAAGGAUAGUGUCUACCUUCCCGAGAAUUGACGUCGCAUUAAGAUUAGCUCCCGAUGAAAAGAGCUAAGCUGUUACCAUAAGCCCUGUUUCACAGGUAAAGAGCCGAAAGCCUCUUGUGCCUCCAGUUCUACCAGCCAGUCGAGGAGAUUUGGUCCAGGUCUCCUUCGUAAAGCCUAGAGCUUUUCUUCCGCAACAGUCCAAGAUCCUGCUCCGUUAUUGCAGCCCAACCCGCCUGCCACCUCCUCCGAGAUGCCCUCGAGGACCGAGAGACACCCUCCCACCCCAUACCUCAUUUAACCCUGGCCCAUUCCUGUCCCUGGUCAUCCUAGCUAAUGGCUCCGCAGUUUUGGUCCUUAUCUCCCAGCCCUGUGUGUGUCCCGUGUUCCAUUCCUCGUGGUGUCACCACACGCUGCUUGGCUGGAGGUGAUGCUGGGCACCGACAGCGGCAGCUUUUGAUUGGCGAGGAUACAACACUCGACCUCCCCGGGCGCCUGGGUCGCUCAGUUGAUUAAGCAUCUGACUGUUAAUUUUGGUUCAGGUCACGAUCUCAUGGUUCUCGAGUUCGAGUCCUGUGUAGGGCUCUGCGCUGACGGCAUGGAGCCUGCUUGGGAUCCUCUCCCUUCCUUUUUUUCUGCCCCUCCCCUGCUCACGUUCCCUCUUUCUCCUCUCUUUUUCUCAAAAUAAA
This 1262-nucleotide long non-coding RNA is filed under the name Felis catus (domestic cat). RNAcentral's name for it is "lncRNA (ENSFCAG00000047185.1)". The record is from RNAcentral. Lineage: Eukaryota; Metazoa; Chordata; Mammalia; Carnivora; Felidae.